ACACAAGGAAGGAGGUGGUCCUGCCGAUGAAUGACUACAGGACAUGUGAGGUGGCUCGCGCCUGAGCGAGCUCGUUCCACCAGGGACGCGUGAGCUCGGGCAAUCCACUCGAGCCACCGGAACCCGCGGGUAUGACGGCAGUCGUCCAGCCGUCAGCGUCGGAUCGACGCAGCCCGCGGGUUCUUUCCU
Molecule: small RNA, 189 nt
Filed under: Luteococcus japonicus LSP_Lj1
Lineage: Bacteria; Bacillati; Actinomycetota; Actinomycetes; Propionibacteriales; Propionibacteriaceae
Description: Actinobacteria sRNA Ms_IGR-5
Rfam family: Actinobacteria sRNA Ms_IGR-5
Source: Rfam by way of RNAcentral